Molecule: long non-coding RNA, 189 nt
Organism: Perca flavescens (yellow perch)
Lineage: Eukaryota; Metazoa; Chordata; Actinopteri; Perciformes; Percidae
Exons: 3
Source: RefSeq, a predicted model, not a curated record
CGUCGAUUCAACGCACAACUAUAAAAAGGCCUUUAGGCUCUGCACUCGACUCACAGUCAGAUCGGUAGUGACAGGAACGUAAUAAAAUGACAGAGAAAAGAAAAACAGACAUAAGAUCCUUUUUCAGUAGGACUACACCAAAACGCCAAGCAAAGGAGACAGAAAGAACAGGGACAGAAGGACAGGGAG